RNAcentral lists this ribosomal RNA (751 nucleotides) under Actinomadura mexicana. Its description in RNAcentral is "bacterial SSU rRNA". It matches the Rfam family "Bacterial small subunit ribosomal RNA", at positions 137 to 901 of the family's 1533-position model. Lineage: Bacteria; Bacillati; Actinomycetota; Actinomycetes; Streptosporangiales; Thermomonosporaceae. The record is from RNAcentral.
UCUGGGAUAAGCCCGGGAAACUGGGUCUAAUACCGGAUAUAACCACUGGUCGCAUGGCUGGGUGGUGGAAAGUUUUUCGGUUGGGGAUGGGCUCGCGGCCUAUCAGCUUGUUGGUGGGGUGAUGGCCUACCAAGGCGACGACGGGUAACCGGCCUGAGAGGGCGACCGGUCACACUGGGACUGAGACACGGCCCAGACUCCUACGGGAGGCAGCAGUGGGGAAUAUUGCGCAAUGGGCGGAAGCCUGACGCAGCGACGCCGCGUGAGGGAUGACGGCCUUCGGGUUGUAAACCUCUUUCAGCAGGGACGAAGCUAACGUGACGGUACCUGCAGAAGAAGCGCCGGCUAACUACGUGCCAGCAGCCGCGGUAAUACGUAGGGCGCAAGCGUUGUCCGGAAUUAUUGGGCGUAAAGAGCUCGUAGGCGGUUUGUCGCGUCUGUCGUGAAAGCCCACGGCUUAACCGUGGGUCUGCGGUGGAUACGGGCAGACUAGAGGCAGGUAGGGGAGAAUGGAAUUCCCGGUGUAGCGGUGAAAUGCGCAGAUAUCGGGAGGAACACCGGUGGCGAAGGCGGUUCUCUGGGCCUGUACUGACGCUGAGGAGCGAAAGCGUGGGGAGCGAACAGGAUUAGAUACCCUGGUAGUCCACGCCGUAAACGUUGGGCGCUAGGUGUGGGGUCCUUCCACGGAUUCCGCGCCGCAGCUAACGCAUUAAGCGCCCCGCCUGGGGAGUACGGCCGCAAGGCUAAAACU